This 1234-nucleotide ribosomal RNA is filed under the name metagenome. Its description in RNAcentral is "bacterial LSU rRNA". It matches the Rfam family "Bacterial large subunit ribosomal RNA", at positions 1564 to 2808 of the family's 2925-position model. The record is from RNAcentral.
UGAAUACGAGACGCUAAGGCGUCGAAGUAGUGUAUGUCAUACUUCCAAGAAAAGCUUGCACUGUCAUAGAUAAAAAACGCCUGUACCAUAACCGACACAGGUGGGUAGGUAGAGUAUACUAAGGGGCGCGAGAUAACUCUCUCUAAGGAACUCGGCAAAAUAACUCCGUAACUUCGGGAGAAGGAGUGCCUUAUUCGUAAGGUUGCAAUAACAAGAUCCAAGCAACUGUUUAUCAAAAACACAGGUCUCCGCUAAGUCGUAAGACGAUGUAUGGGGGCUGACGCCUGCCCAGUGCCAGAAGGUUAAAGAAGUUGGUUAGCAAUUGCGAAGCUGAUAACUGAAGCCCUGGUGAACGGCGGCCGUAACAAUAACGGUCCUAAGGUAGCGAAAUUCCUUGUCGGGUAAGUUCCGACCCGCACGAAAGGCGUAAUGAUUUGGAUACUGUCUCGGAGAGGGGCUCGGUGAAAUAGACUUGUCUGUGAAGAUGCGGACUACCUGCACCAGGACAGAAAGACCCUAUGAAGCUUUACUGUAACUUGAAAUUGAAAUUGGGCUUUAUUCGCGCAGUAUAGGUGGGAGGCGUUGAUUAUAAUCUUGUGGGAUUAUUGGAGCCAUCAGUGAGAUACCACUCUUGUAAUGUUAGAUUUCUAACUUUGAAUCAUUAUCUGGUCAAAGAACAGUUUCAGGCGGGCAGUUUGACUGGGGCGGUCGCCUCCUAAACGGUAACGGAGGCGUACAAAGGUUUCCUCUGAACGGUUAGAAAUCGUAUCUAGAGUGUAAAGGCAUAAGGAAGCUUGACUGUGAGACCUACAAGUCGAGCAGGGACGAAAGUCGGUCUUAGUGAUCUGACGGUACUGAGUGGAAAGGCCGUCACUCAACGGAUAGAAGUUACUCUAGGAUAACAGGCUGAUCUCCCCCAAGAGUUCACAUCGACGGGGAGGUUUGGCACCUUGAUGUCGGCUCAUCGCAUCCUGGGGCGGUAGUACGUCCCAAGGGUUGGGCUGUUCGCCCAUGAAAGCGGUACGCGAGCUGGGUUCAGAACGUCGUGAGACAGUUCGGUCCAUAUCCGGUGUAGGCGUUAGAAUAUUGAGAGGAGCCUUCUUUAGUACGAGAGGACCGAGAAGGACAUACCUCUGGUGUACCAGUUAUCGUGCCAACGGUAAACGCUGGGUAGCUAUGUAUGGAGUGGAUAACCGCUGAAAGCAUCUAAGUGGGAAGCCCACCUCAAGAUAAG